GUUCCUCGUGUGACGAGUGGGAGAGGGGUGAGUAGUGUGGGGGUCUCUGCCAUAUAGAGGGAGAUAACCUGUGGAAACGGGGGCUAAUACCGUAUAACCUCACAAGACCAAAGAGGGAGAUUUUCGGCCCUCUCUCUAUCAGAUGAACCCAUGUGGGAUUAUCUAAUGCGGGGUGUAACGGCCCCCCUACGACAAUAUCCCUAUGUGGUCAGAGAAGAAGACCACCCACUGUGGCUCUGACACACGCCCCACACUCCUACGGGGGGCAACUGUGGAAAAUAGUGCACAGUGGGCGCACGCGUGAUGCCCCCGUGCCGCGUGUAAGAAAAGGGUCUUCGGUUUGUAAAAUAUUUUCCGCGGAGAAGAGGGAUAUGUGUUUAAUAACCGCCUUGUGUGAUUUUCCCCGCAAAAAACGCCCCGGAUAACUCCGUGCCCACCCCCGCGGUAAUACAGAGGGUGCACGCUUUACUCAGAAUUAGUGGGCAUAACGCACACAGGGGCGCUGUGUUAACUGAGAUGUGAACUCCGGGGGUUUAAUGUGGACACUGUUUUUGAAAGUGGCGCGUUUGACUCUCAGAGAGGGGGGUAGAACUACGUGUGUAGCGGAGAUGUGCGUAGAUAUCUGGAGGAACAGGUGUCGA
This 641-nucleotide ribosomal RNA is filed under the name Pantoea ananatis. Its description in RNAcentral is "partial 16S ribosomal RNA". It matches the Rfam family "Bacterial small subunit ribosomal RNA", at positions 79 to 718 of the family's 1533-position model. Lineage: Bacteria; Pseudomonadati; Pseudomonadota; Gammaproteobacteria; Enterobacterales; Erwiniaceae. The record is from RNAcentral.